GAGAUCUUAAAGCAUGCCUCUAACCUUAUAUUCAACGUCCUCAGAAAUCCCACGAAGUUAGGAUUUUACCGAAAACUCCUGACGCGGAUCACGAAUCUAGCAUCUCACCUCGGAGAAAGGUAUGAGAUGACAACUCAUAAUCUUCCUUCUACACCAUCCAAAUUACUCACAUAAAAACGCAAACUGAAUAUCCAUUCAUAAAAGCCGCAAUGCAGCGGGGAUUCAAAGCCACAAGUGGCCAGUCCCAAAAUAUAAACAUGGCCAUACUUGGCCAGAAAAAAAAAUACUAAUCCAUAACAUAAAAAGGAAAUCUCUCAAGGGAGAUCGUAACCUUGAUCGUCAUCUGGAAACUAAACCUCCCCUU
RNAcentral lists this long non-coding RNA (364 nucleotides) under Brassica napus (rape). Its description in RNAcentral is "long non-coding RNA (BNAP_LNC026756)". The record is from RNAcentral. Lineage: Eukaryota; Viridiplantae; Streptophyta; Magnoliopsida; Brassicales; Brassicaceae.